RNAcentral lists this ribosomal RNA (417 nucleotides) under uncultured bacterium. RNAcentral's name for it is "bacterial SSU rRNA". It matches the Rfam family "Bacterial small subunit ribosomal RNA", at positions 340 to 752 of the family's 1533-position model. The record is from RNAcentral.
UACGGAAGGCAGCAGGGGGAAUAUUGCACAAUGGGCGCAAGCCUGAUGCAGCCAUGCCGCGUGUAUGAAGAAGGCCUUCGGGUUGUAAAGUACUUUCAGCGAGGAGGAAGGCAUUAAGGUUAAUAACCUUAGUGAUUGACGUUACUCGCAGAAGAAGCACCGGCUAACUCCGUGCCAGCAGCCGCGGUAAUACGGAGGGUGCAAGCGUUAAUCGGAAUUACUGGGCGUAAAGCGCACGCAGGCGGUCUGUCAAGUCGGAUGUGAAAUCCCCGGGCUCAACCUGGGAACUGCAUCCGAACUGGCAGGCUAGAGUCUUGUAGAGGGGGUAGAAUUCCAGGUGUAGCGGUGAAAUGCGUAGAGAUCUGGAGGAAUACCGGUGGCGAAGGCGGCCCCUGGGACAAAGCUGACGCUCAGGGU